This 339-nucleotide unclassified non-coding RNA is filed under the name soil metagenome. RNAcentral describes it as "partial contains 5.8S ribosomal RNA, internal transcribed spacer 2, and large subunit ribosomal RNA". The stretch from base 1 to 120 matches the Rfam family "5.8S ribosomal RNA", at positions 35 to 154 of the family's 154-position model. The record is from RNAcentral.
GAUGAAGAACGCAGCGAAAUGCGAUAAGUAAUGUGAAUUGUAGAAUUCAGUGAAUCAUCGAGUCUUUGAACGCACAUUGCGCCCCCUGGUAUUCCGGGGGGCAUGCCUGUCCGAGCGUCAUUGCUGCCCUCAAGCACGGCUUGUGUGUUGGGCUCCGUCCCCCCGGGGACGGGCCCGAAAGGCAGCGGCGGCACCGAGUCCGGUCCUCGAGCGUAUGGGGCUUUGUCACCCGCUCUGUAGGCCCGGCCGGCGCCAGCCGACAACCCAUCAUCCUUUUCAGGUUGACCUCGGAUCAGGUAGGGAUACCCGCUGAACUUAAGCAUAUCAAUAAGCGGAGGA